UUUUUCCGUGGGUUUAGGUGGCUUCCCAGGAGGUGGGUCCCCUUUCUCUUUCACAGCUGCCUCUCAGAAAUGCUAGUCCCAUCCUGAUUCCUUCUCUCUCUCUCUCUCUCUCUUUUUCCUUUGCUCUACCCGGUUGUGUCAAGAGUUUCUUGCCCUUUUUGGAGGUUUAGGUUCUUCUGCCAGCAUCCAGUUGAUGGUCUGUGCGAGUCGUUUUGCAUGGCAAUGUGUUUUUUGAUGUGUUUAUGGGGGAGGUGAUGGCAACCUCUUACUCCUGCGCCAUCUUUCUCUGCCCCAACACAACCUUGCUCAGCCCCAACACAACCUGUUUUACUUUGUUUUCUGCUUUUUUAUUGAAUUGAACUUUUUUUGGAGAUCAAUUUGGAUUCAUGUUAAGGUGUAAGAAAUUAUGGAGAGAAAUACCCUGCCUUCUGACCCCAGUUCCCCCCAAUGGUAACACUCUGCAAAAUUAAACAAAAUCACAACAGGGAUAUUGACUGUGGUAGAGUCACUGGUGGUAUCUUUCCAUCAUUGCAAAGAUUCCUCUAGAUAUAGUUUUAUAGCCAUACCCAGUUAAGGUAUUUUGAUUGCAAGGAAUAAAGUCACCCCAGGAGAUCUUAAGCAAGGGAAAAAAAGAGAUUUUUUGGAUAUCUGCUUUUCUUUGCUCAUCAUCUCCUGUUCUAUUUCUUCUUUUUCAGUCAGGUGACUGCGGUGAAGCUGUCAAUCAUAGACCUUGCUCCUGUUACCAUAGAGAUUGGUCAGGUGACUGAAGGCCAGCCAAUCACAAUUACUGUUCCAGUGCAAAGGGCUGCCCUCACAACAGAUGAAGUCAAAAUCUCAAGACUACGUCUCAUUGGUAUGACACAAGUCACAUGUCUGUUCCCAAACCUCUCACAGUGCUUGGGAGAAAAAUAUGCUGAUUAGCGAGGUCUUAGGGGAAUCUUUCUC
RNAcentral lists this long non-coding RNA (945 nucleotides) under Sus scrofa (pig). Its description in RNAcentral is "lncRNA (ENSSSCG00070025976.1)". The record is from RNAcentral. Lineage: Eukaryota; Metazoa; Chordata; Mammalia; Artiodactyla; Suidae.